UGCCAGCCGCCGCGGUAAUACGGAGGGAGCUAGCGUUGUUCGGAAUUACUGGGCGUAAAGAGCACGUAGGCGGACUUUUAAGUCUGGGGUGAAAUCCCGGGGCUCAACCCCGGAACUGCCUCUAAUACUGCUAGUCUUGAGUUCGAGAGAGGUGAGUGGAAUUCCGAGUGUAGAGGUGAAAUUCGUAGAUAUUCGGAGGAACACCAGUGGCGAAAACGGCUCACUGGCUCGAUACUGACGCUGAGGUGCGAAAGCGUGGGGAGCAAACAGGAUUAGAUA
This 279-nucleotide ribosomal RNA is filed under the name uncultured bacterium. RNAcentral describes it as "partial 16S ribosomal RNA". It matches the Rfam family "Bacterial small subunit ribosomal RNA", at positions 506 to 784 of the family's 1533-position model. The record is from RNAcentral.